AAACACACCUAUCAAAAUGAUCAAUGCUCCAAAUUCAGCAGCCAGAAGAAAGGAGGAAUUAAUAAGUCUUGAAAAGAAAACAACACUAAAAAAACGGUUGAAUUUUACCAAAGCAACACCAAGGGCAAAAUGGUCAAAAAUUGAAUCGGAAAAGAGAAAGCCAUCUCACAGCAUGUAUGUAGUAGCACCAACCAAAAACUUUGAAUUUUACCAAAGCAAUGCAAGUGACAAAAUAGUCAAAAGUUGAAUCGAAAGGGAGGAAGUCAUCUCACAGCAUGUAUGUACAACACCAUAAAGCUACUGCCUCUGUUAUUUACCCAAUUCAUCAACACCAUAAAGCGCCAGACCCCCCUCCCCUGAGAAUGCAGUCAGGAAGAAAGAGGAUCAAUUACAGCAGUUUUCUAUUGCAGGUUUGAAUCUACUGCCUCUGUUAUUUACCCAGUUGAAGGAUAGCAAUUGAAUCUCAUCAUACACUAUAUCUUUAAUGAUUAUGACAAUGAUUAAAAACUCUGGAAUUGCGUGUUUUCCAAACAGAUCAAACACUGUAUAACACAAGGCACCCAACAUUUCUAUACCUUCAGACCCCUGUUUGGAGAAGUUCACAACAUCCUCGCCUUCUCAGACAUUGAAGAUGGGGGUUUCAAGACUAGCUUACACCAUUGACAAAACCAAUUCGAGAUUCCAAAGAGACCAUAGCACAAGGCACCCUACAAUUCUACUUUCGGACCCCUGCUUACACCAUGGACGAAGUCAAUUUAUCCAUCCAAAUCAUUUGAAUCCAAGUGCAGAAACCACAAACAAAUCAUUUGAAUCCAUCCAAAUUGCACAAAAUUUAUCAACUUAAAGUCAGAUUGGUGAUUACACAAAAGUGUGAAUCCAUUUCCAUAGUAGACGCAGAGUGGUUUGAAGUGGUGGUCAGGAUCGUUGAAGUGGAUAUCAAUUAAUUAAAAGGUAUGUAUUGGUGUCUUUCCUCAUUUUUCUGUUCUAUCUUCUUCCAACAUUCCGUUUAGGAUCGCUUGUACAUGUUCCUGGCAAAAAUGUUAGUCUAAUAAAUAUCAACUGUUUGAUGAAAUGCCUCAAUGUUUUUUUUUUUAAUUUUUUUUUCUGAAUUUAAUGCCACAUCAGCUGUAUGGUAUUGGUUUGUUCAUAGUGUAGUGUAUUGAUAUUAUAGAGUACUUGAAAACAAAGAAUAUUUACAGAAAAUAAAUGAUCUCCAAGACACCCAAUACACCAAUACAGAAUGAGAGAAGUAUGAUUUCCAGGCAAUGCUAUUGACAUAUUAGCUAAUUUUACACUUAAAAUGUGAACCAGACUUACCUAUUUUUGUAGCUGUUUAAUGUUCUUAUGGUGUCUUUGGAAAAACUUGGUUAACAUUAAAUAGCAUGUCUUUGGAAAAAGCUGAUGCCCAUCAAUAUAUGUGGAGGGAGAGACCUUGUUUUAUUUCUUUCCUGAUUUGCAGUAACAAUAUUCUCAAAUGACAAUCACUUUGCAAUUUCUUCCAUGUGUAGUAGCCCGGAAUUUCAAAUAUUGAUAUAAGUAUGAUUUUGGGGGUGUUUUAAGAGGGGACUCGGCGAGUUGGAGCCUAGACUCGCCGAGUAGGAUCGCAGACUUGGUCGCGGGUUCGCGACUGGACUCGACGAGUCCAGAUAUGGACUCGGCGAGUCUACGCUGUUUAGCGAAAACCCUAACCGUUCAGGUUUGGGUCGUAUAUAACGCACUAUAUGCCGUCAUUGCCCGUCUUUUAGUCGACUGAGAAGAACCUAAGCGGCUGUGGGCAUCUAGGGCAAGAUUGAAGGCCAUUGGUGACUUGAAGAAAUUGUGGUGCAAGGAGGAGAAGAGUCUUGGCUAAAGGAACUGCAAGGGAUUCGAGUUCUAAGGUUUGGGGACACAGAGAGUGUGUUAUUCAGGUAAUAUUUCGGAUCAUUUCUGUUAUAUUGAUGUGUGCAUGGAUCUAGGGUUUAUGGAACCCAUUUGGUGAUUAGAUGGAUUAUUACUUUGUUAACCAAACGAAUAUAACCCUGUAUUAGGACCUUUAGAGGUCCAGAAGGUCCCAUGCUUGUGUAUUUCGGAACCAUAACUAUCCCAGGAUGCAGUUUGAGCGGUUGCAUGGCAUGGACUCGCCGAGUUCGAUGAACAGACUCGGCGAGUAGCUUGAAGAUUAACUGGGACUCGUCGAGUUGUUCUUCAGACUCGGCGAGUUGAGUCGGGGUGGCCCCGCGAUUCUUCCAGGAGGAACUCGUCGAGUAAAAAGGGGAUACUCGACGUGUAGAAAGGGAAUCUUAAGGAAUCGGUGAGUCAAGGGCGAGUGGACUCAGAGUCGUUGAACUCGGCGAGUCUUGGGGUGACUCGGCGAGUUAGGUCGCGGGUUAAGUGAAGUUCUGAGUAUGGGGACUCGGCGAGUCAUAGGGUUGACUCGGCGAGUAGGGUCAGUCAGGGGUUGACUUUGACCUUGUCUUUGACCAAGGAUUGACCAGUGGUUCCAGGGGUAUUUUGGUAAUUGUUGUUUAUUGUUUGAGUUCAGUGCAUUGGUGACUGUCCAGAGGUGGAGAUCGUAUCAGUGAUCGGAGCAGCUUGAGCUAUCUGUUCAGUCGGCAGUUUCGAGGUGAGUUAUCCUCACUAUAUCGCUAGGGUUUAUGGCACUAAGGCCGACCCUUUUAUCGGAUGGAAAUCCGAGUAGUUGUCAUUACAUGUUAUGGGCCGGAAGGCGUUGCUAUGUGGACCGGAAGGUCAUGGCCUGGAAAAGCGUAUGUAUGCAUUUAGUAUGUUGACUGGUUAUAGGGUAAUGUUAUGAUAGUGACCGGCUAGACCGGUAUCUUGUUAGAGUAAUGCUAUGAUAUGUGAUCUGUUGAUCGAUUGUUGUCUAUGAACUGCUAUAUGAUUGCUUGUUAGAUUAUAUGUGCAUUUUAUGCUUAUGGGCCGGAAGGCAAUAUGUUAUGGGCCGGAAGGCGAUUAUGUUGUGUGAUGGACCGGAAGGUCGGCGUGGGUAGGACCGGAAGGUUUACCCAGCAGGGACGGAAGUCCCCUGAGACACAUGGACCGGAAGGUCAGGGCCUGGAAAGGCGUAUAUGUGGUUGGUAUUCUGGGGGUAUCUCACUAAGCUUUCGGGCUUACAGUUGUGGUUUUAUGUUUCAGGUUCUCAAGAGUCUGUGGCAAGGCAAAGGCGUGAUCGUACCAUUCCUCGCGUUGGUGUUUUAUGAUAUGAACCUGGGAAAUUACUCUGUUUAAUGAUGUAUUGAAAACCUUUUUGUAACAAUGUUAAUAAAAUGGGUGAUUUUGAAAAAUUUUAAUUGUUUUGAAAUUUUGGAUGUUACACCAUGAUCCAUUGAGUAUCCAUGAAACUACUAGUGUCAUUUUGGUGCUAGCUACCAAUAAACAUGGAAUGGAGAUUCAGAUGAAGAAGCUUUUUAUACUUGCAUUAAUUAAUAAGAUUACAUCUAACA
RNAcentral lists this long non-coding RNA (3440 nucleotides) under Lactuca sativa (garden lettuce). RNAcentral describes it as "long non-coding RNA (LSAT_LNC002407)". Lineage: Eukaryota; Viridiplantae; Streptophyta; Magnoliopsida; Asterales; Asteraceae. The record is from RNAcentral.